CCGUAGCCCAAGAGAUCGGGAUAACACCUGGAAACAGAUGCUAAUACCGGAUAACAACAGAUGAUGCCUAUCAACUGUUUAAAAGAUGGUUCUGCUAUCACUCUUGGAUGGACCUGCGGUGCAUUAGCUAGUUGGUAGGGUAACGGCCUACCAAGGCGAUGAUGCAUAGCCGAGUUGAGAGACUGAUCGGCCACAUUGGGACUGAGACACGGCCCAAACUCCUACGGGAGGCAGCAGUG
RNAcentral lists this ribosomal RNA (239 nucleotides) under uncultured Lactobacillus sp. Its description in RNAcentral is "partial 16S ribosomal RNA". It matches the Rfam family "Bacterial small subunit ribosomal RNA", at positions 125 to 356 of the family's 1533-position model. The record is from RNAcentral. Lineage: Bacteria; Bacillati; Bacillota; Bacilli; Lactobacillales; Lactobacillaceae.